RNAcentral lists this ribosomal RNA (442 nucleotides) under uncultured bacterium. Its description in RNAcentral is "partial 16S ribosomal RNA". It matches the Rfam family "Bacterial small subunit ribosomal RNA", at positions 338 to 795 of the family's 1533-position model. The record is from RNAcentral.
CCUACGGGAGGCAGCAGUGGGGAAUAUUGGGCACUGGGCGCAAGCCUGACCCAGCAACGCCGCGUGAAGGAAGAAGGCUUUCGGGUUGUAAACUUCUUUUCUGGGGGACGAACAAAUGACGGUACCCCAGGCAUAAGCCACGGCUAACUACGUGCCAUCAGCCGCGGUAAUACGUAGGUGGCAAGCGUUAUCCGGAUUUAUUGGGUGUAAAGGGCGUGUAGGCGGGAAUGCAAGUCAGAUGUGAAAACUAUGGGCUCAACCCAUAGCCUGCAUUUGAAACUGUAUUUCUUGAGUGCUGGAGAGGCAAUCGGAAUGCCGUGUGUAGCGGGGAAAUGCGUAGAUAUACGGAGGAACACCAGUGGCGAAGGCGGAUUGCUGGACAGUAACUGACGCUGAGGCGCGAAAGCGUGGGGAGCAAACAGGAUUAGAUACCCCAGUAGUC